GACCGACGCAAAAAUCCCGGAUGCCCAAUAUGGAUAUGAAAAAGGCCUGACGAUUGGUCUGGCGGCGCUUUCGGGGGCAAAUCGGGUCUGCGA
Molecule: non-coding RNA, 93 nt
Filed under: marine eukaryotic metagenome
Description: Pyrrolysine insertion sequence mttB
Rfam family: Pyrrolysine insertion sequence mttB
Source: RNAcentral